RNAcentral lists this ribosomal RNA (488 nucleotides) under uncultured bacterium. Its description in RNAcentral is "bacterial SSU rRNA". It matches the Rfam family "Bacterial small subunit ribosomal RNA", at positions 494 to 983 of the family's 1533-position model. The record is from RNAcentral.
CGGCUAACUUCGUGCCAGCAGCCGCGGUAAGACGAAGGAUGCAAGCGUUAUCCGGAUUCAUUGGGUUUAAAGGGUGCGUAGGCGGACUUGUAAGUCAGUGGUGAAAUCUCUCAGCUUAACUGAGAAACUGCCAUUGAUACUGCAGGUCUAGAGUACAGAUGAUGUGGGCGGAAUAUGACAUGUAGUGGUGAAAUACUUAGAUAUGUCAUAGAACACCGAUUGCGAAGGCAGCUCACAAAACUGUAACUGACGCUGAGGCACGAAAGUGCGGGGAUCAAACAGGAUUAGAUACCCUGGUAGUCCGCACCGUAAACGAUGAUUACUCGUUGUUGGCGAUAUGACAGUCAGCGACCAAGCGAAAGCGAUAAGUAAUCCACCUGGGGAGUACGCCGGCAACGGUGAAACUCAAAGGAAUUGACGGGGGCCCGCACAAGCGGAGGAGCAUGUGGUUUAAUUCGAUGAUACGCGAGGAACCUUACCUGGGCUUG